This 312-nucleotide ribosomal RNA is filed under the name Triticum aestivum (bread wheat). RNAcentral describes it as "partial small subunit ribosomal RNA". The record is from RNAcentral. Lineage: Eukaryota; Viridiplantae; Streptophyta; Magnoliopsida; Poales; Poaceae.
AUGAAUAUAUUCUGCUGGAAUUGUCGUGGUUCGGGUAAAGCCGCGACAAUUCGAGAGCUUCGCGAUUUUGCGAGGCAAUUUACCCCUACCCUCUUAUGCAUUGUUGAAACUCAAAUGGAUAGUACUAGGGUAGAAGCUUUGUCGGAAACGCUUGGUUUUGACUGUUCUUAUGCUGUGAGUAGUGAUGGUAGAAGUGGUGGCAUUGGCUUAUUUUGGAACAACUCAAUAAAUGUUGAAAUUCUUGGUUAUUCUGGUUAUCACCUCGACGUUUCCAUUGAGGAACAAGGUACGGCCAAGUGGAGAAUGACGUGC